This 446-nucleotide ribosomal RNA is filed under the name uncultured bacterium. Its description in RNAcentral is "SSU rRNA". It matches the Rfam family "Bacterial small subunit ribosomal RNA", at positions 26 to 518 of the family's 1533-position model. The record is from RNAcentral.
AGGAUGAACGCUGGCGGUCUGCUUAACACAUGCAAGUCGAACGGAGUAGCAAUACUUAGUGGCGGACGGGUGAGUAACGCGUGAGAAUCUACCUUCAGGACGGAGACAACAGUUGGAAACGACUGCUAACCCCCGAUGUACCGAAAGGGCAAAUAUUUAUAGCCUGAAGAAGAGCUCGCGUCCGAUUAGCUAGUUGGAGAGGUAAAAGCUCACCAAGGCGACGAUCGGUAGCUGGUCUGAGAGGACGAUCAGCCACACUGGGACUGAGACACGGCCCAGACUCCUACGGGAGGCAGCAGUGGGGAAUUUCCGCAAUGGGCGAAAGCCUGACGGAGCAAGACCGCGUGGGGGAAGAAGGCUCUUGGGUUGUAAACCCCUUUUCUCUGGGAAGAACGCAAUGACGGUACAGAGGAAUCAGCAUCGGCUAACUCCGUGCCAGCAGCCGC